UACAGAGAGUGCAAACGUUGUUCGGAAUCACUGGGCAUAAAGCGCACGUAGGCGGCCUUUCAAGUGUGGAGUGAAAUCCCACGGCUCACCCGUGGAACUGCUUCGCAUACUGUUUGGCUCGAGGAUGGUAGAGGAGAGCGGAACUCCUGGUGGAGCGGUGAAAUGCGUAGAUAUCAGGAGGAACACCGGUGGCGAAGGCGGCUCUCUGGUCCAUUUCUGACGCUGAGGUGCGAAAGCUAGGGUAGCGAACGGG
This 253-nucleotide ribosomal RNA is filed under the name uncultured bacterium. RNAcentral describes it as "partial 16S ribosomal RNA". It matches the Rfam family "Bacterial small subunit ribosomal RNA", at positions 524 to 776 of the family's 1533-position model. The record is from RNAcentral.